CUGGUCAGGAUUGAAUCCGGGAGACUGAAAGGGGCGGCGGUGGCGGGGAUGCGGAAAUGGCUUCUGACGUGCUAGGGAAACCUUGUGUGUAGCUGGUCCUGGUGAGCCCCUUCCUCUCAAACCUGGGAAUUUCUCCGGCCACUGUUUUGGGUGCACUCUGGAAGAAUGUGUGGACGGACAGCUGUUACUCUGGGAGCAGACCGUAUCCGCCGUGCCUGCGCUUAUCACAAUAAUCGAGGAGAAAGAAAGUAUCCUGAAUGGCAAAAUGCUGACAAAUACAGCCCCUCGUUCAAUAAGAGCCCACAAUCUAACAGUCCUGUGCUUCUCUCCCGGCAACAUUUUGAGAAGAAUGCCAAUUCUUCUGAGCGUAUCCUUGUAGCCAUGCGUUGGGGGCUAGUUCCAUCUUGGUUCAAGGAAGCUGACCCAUCUAAAAUGCAGUACAACACUUCCAAUUGUCGGAGUGAUACCAUGAUGGAGAAAUUCUGCUAUAAGGUACCUCUUUCAAAAGGUAAACGCUGUGUGGUGCUGGCCGAUGGCUACUAUGAAUGGCGACAACAUAAUGGACAAAAGCAGCCAUAUUUCAUUUACUUUGCCCAAACUGAGCAGGAAAUGUUCACCAAACCAGAAAUGGAAGAUGAGGUUGAAGAUUCAAAAGGGAGAAAGCUGCUUACCAUGGCUGGAAUUUUUGAUUGCUGGGAGCCCCAGAAUGGAGCAGAACCAUUGUACAGUUAUAGUAUCAUCACAGUAAAUGCAUCUGAAUGUGUAAGAUUCAUCCAUCACAGAAUGCCAGCUAUUCUGGAUGGGGACGAAGCAGUUAAAAAAUGGCUUGACUUUGCAGAAAUACCUGCAGAAGCAGCACUUCACCUUAUCCAGCCAACAGAAAACAUUGCCUUCCAUCCUGUGUCAACAAUAGUGAACAAUUCCCGAAAUAAUUCAUCAGAAUGCAUUUUACCUAUUGAAUUGGAUCCCAAAAAAAAUACUAAGAUUAAUGCAAGCAGCACAGUAAUGCUGAACUGGUUAAAAAACAAAGGCCCCAAGAAAAGUGAUAAGGAUGAAGACAAUUUACCAAAGUGGUCCAGCCAGUUCAUCCAGACAUCACCGUGUAAAAAAACUAGCAUGGACUUAAUGCACCAGUGGCUCAAAAAAGAUGGAGAACCUUCUGCAAAGCAAAUGAAAAAACAGUGAUAAUUUGGUUCUAUUGCUUAUUACCAAAGAGGGUCUUAUGUGUUGAGUUAUUGCAAUAUUUAGAUCUCCUGAUUUAGAUUGUAAUACAGGUAUAAUCUAUAAAUAAAUUAUAAGACUUCAGAUAUGCUUCCUUCCUGAUGCCGAGUAGAUGGGCUUUGACAUUAAACACUUAGUUUCUUUUAUCUGAAACAAAUAGGAUAUAUAGAUGUUAAGUGCAGCAUUGACUUGACCUUGCCAAUCUUGAAAAAGGCAAUAGCUUUCCAAAAUAUAUAAGUGAGGGAUUUAAUGUUUUUUUUUCUCCUCCAAGGACAGAAGCAGAGAUUUGGUUUGUCAUGGUUACCAUCAUUGUAUUCAUUCAAUUCACUUUGUGGAUUGCUUUGUCUUUUAUGGAAAAAAAUAGGCCACUGAAAAUAGGCCUGCUGAAGAUUUGUUGCUGCACAGUGAGAAUGAUAAUUUAUUUUGGUCUGAAACCAGUACAAAUUUUUGCCCUUUUUCAUCUGCUUUGGAAGAUGUGGAAUAUCAUCUGCAAUCAAUAUACAAAUAUAAUUCUUACUGGUUAAGAAGCUAUUCCAAGAGGAUGUUGUUUCACUAAUUUGGAUUUACUAUACGUUCCAAACCUUUGAUAGUAUUGUUCAACAAAUUCAUCAAAGCUAUAAUGAUCAGGCCACCACUGCAGUCAGUAUUUUGAAUAGGUGGUAAGAGAAUAGCAAGGAAGAAAGAAAGAACUUUAGUCUUGUUUUUUGGGGAAAGUGAAGAUAGGUAGUUGGCUGAUAACUGGAUAUUUAGG
Molecule: non-coding RNA, 1972 nt
Organism: Pseudonaja textilis
Lineage: Eukaryota; Metazoa; Chordata; Lepidosauria; Squamata; Elapidae
Source: RefSeq, a predicted model, not a curated record